UAGUUUAUGUUUGUGUUGGUUUUUUUUUUUUUUUCCUUUUUUUUG
RNAcentral lists this non-coding RNA (45 nucleotides) under uncultured Symbiodinium. Lineage: Eukaryota; Dinophyceae; Suessiales; Symbiodiniaceae. The record is from RNAcentral.